UACGUAGGUGGCGAGCGUUAUCCGGAAUUAUUGGGCGUAAAGAGUGAGCAGGCGGCAUGAUAAGUUUGAAGUGAAAGCGUUGUGCUUAACACAAUACAGCUCCAAAAACUGUCAAGCUAGAGUGCGAGAGGGGCAAACGGAACUCCAUGUGUAGCGGUGAAAUGCGUAGAUAUAUGGAAGAACACCAGUGGCGAAGGCGGUUUGCUAGCUCGAUACUGACGCUCAGUCACGAAAGCGUGGGGAGCAAAUA
Molecule: ribosomal RNA, 250 nt
Filed under: uncultured prokaryote
Description: partial 16S ribosomal RNA
Rfam family: Bacterial small subunit ribosomal RNA
Source: RNAcentral